GCCAAUGUGGCACAGUUGUUUGAGUAUUGGACUAUGACUCUGGAGACCAAGGUUCGAUUCCCAGCUAGGCCA
This 72-nucleotide transfer RNA is filed under the name Phrynosoma platyrhinos (Desert horned lizard). RNAcentral describes it as "tRNA-OTHER". The record is from RNAcentral. Lineage: Eukaryota; Metazoa; Chordata; Lepidosauria; Squamata; Phrynosomatidae.